UCCUUCAACCCAUGAGGUAACGUGGCGCCCGGGUGAGUAACGAGUGGAUUAUCUACCUGCAUCACCGGAAUAACGGUUGGAAACGACUGCUAAUGCCGGAUAGUCUUGAAAGGGUAAAGGGGGCCUCUGCUUGCAAGCUUCCGGGUGCUGAUGAGUCCGCGUCUGAUUAGCUAGUUGGUGAGGUAAUGGCUCACCAAGGCAACGAUCAGUAGCAGGUUUGAGAGGAUGACCUGCCACACUGGGACUGGAACACGGCCCAGACUCCUACGGGAGGCAGCAGUGGGGAAUAUUGCGCAAUGGGCGAAAGCCUGACGCAGCGACGCCGCGUGGAGGAUGAAGGCCUUCGGGUCGUAAACUCCUGUCAAGAGGGAAGAACCGUAUGCGGAAUAAUACGCCGCAUGCCUGACGGUACCUCUAGAGGAAGCACCGGCUAACUCCGUGCCAGCAGCCGCGGUAAUACGGAGGGUGCAAGCGUUAAUCGGAAUCACUGGGCGUAAAGCGCGCGUAGGCGGCUUGGUAAGUCAGGUGUGAAAGCCCCCGGCCCAACCGGGGAAUUGCACUUGAUACUGCUAGGCUAGAGUUCAGGAGAGGGUGGCGGAAUUCCAGGUGUAGGAGUGAAAUCCGUAGAUAUCUGGAGGAACACCGGUGGCGAAGGCGGCCACCUGGACUGACACUGACGCUGAGUGCGAAAGCGUGGGUAGCAAACAGGAUUAGAUACCCUGGUAGUCCACGCCGUAAGAUGGAUACUAGGUGUCGGGGACUUGAUCCUCGGUGCCGUAACUAAA
Molecule: ribosomal RNA, 785 nt
Filed under: Oleidesulfovibrio alaskensis
Lineage: Bacteria; Pseudomonadati; Thermodesulfobacteriota; Desulfovibrionia; Desulfovibrionales; Desulfovibrionaceae
Description: bacterial SSU rRNA
Rfam family: Bacterial small subunit ribosomal RNA
Source: RNAcentral